RNAcentral lists this ribosomal RNA (787 nucleotides) under uncultured Pelagibacteraceae bacterium. Its description in RNAcentral is "bacterial SSU rRNA". It matches the Rfam family "Bacterial small subunit ribosomal RNA", at positions 49 to 883 of the family's 1533-position model. Lineage: Bacteria; Pseudomonadati; Pseudomonadota; Alphaproteobacteria; Candidatus Pelagibacterales; Candidatus Pelagibacteraceae. The record is from RNAcentral.
UUAUACAUGCAAGUCGAACGGAGUAGCAAUACUUAGUGGCAGACGGGUGAGUAACAUGUGGGAAUCUUCCCUUUGGUGAGGAAUAACACGAGGAAACUUGUGCUAAUACCUCAUAAGUCUUUACAGAGAAAGCUUUAUGCGCCAAUGGAUGAGCCCGCACUUGAUUAGUUUGUUGGUGGGGUAAUGGCCCACCAAGACUGUGAUCAAUAGCUGAUCUGAGAGGAUGAUCAGCCACAUUGGGACUGAGACACGGCCCAAACUCCUACGGGAGGCAGCAGUAAGGAAUCUUGCACAAUGGAGGAAACUCUGAUGCAGCGAUGCCGCGUGAGUGAAGAAGGCCCUUGGGUUGUAAAGCUCUUUCGUCGGGGAAGAAAAUGACUGUACCCGAAUAAGAAGGUCCGGCUAACUUCGUGCCAGCAGCCGCGGUAAUACGAAGGGACCUAGCGUAGUUCGGAAUUACUGGGCUUAAAGAGUUCGUAGGUUGUUAAAAAAGUUGGUGGUGAAAUCCCAGAGCUUAACUCUGGAACUGCCAUCAAAACUUUUUAGCUAGAGUUUGAUAGAGGAAAGCAGAAUUUCUAGUGUAGAGGUGAAAUUCGUAGAUAUUAGAAAGAAUACCAAUUGCGAAGGCAGCUUUCUGGAUCAUUACUGACACUGAGGAACGAAAGCAUGGGUAGCGAAGAGGAUUAGAUACCCUCGUAGUCCAUGCUGUAAACGAUGUGUGUUAGACGUUGGAAAAUUAUUUUUCAGUGUCGCAGCGAAAGCAUUAAACACACCGCCUGGGGAGUAC